This 268-nucleotide ribosomal RNA is filed under the name uncultured bacterium. RNAcentral's name for it is "partial 16S ribosomal RNA". It matches the Rfam family "Bacterial small subunit ribosomal RNA", at positions 336 to 601 of the family's 1533-position model. The record is from RNAcentral.
CUCCUACGGGGCGCAGCAGUGAGGAAUAUUGGUCAAUGGUCGGGAGACUGAACCAGCCAAGCCGCGUGAGGGAGGAAGGUACAGAGUAUCGUAAACCUCUUUUGUCAGGGAACAAAGGCGGGGACGUGUCCCCGGAUGAGUGUACCUGAAGAAAAAGCAUCGGCUAACUCCGUGCCAGCAGCCGCGGUAAUACGUAGGUGGCGAGCGUUGUCCGGAAUUACUGGGUGUAAAGGGAGUGUAGGCGGGAAAGGAAGUCAGAAGUGAAAAC